Pelobates cultripes (western spadefoot toad) is the source of this 547-nucleotide non-coding RNA. Lineage: Eukaryota; Metazoa; Chordata; Amphibia; Anura; Pelobatidae. The record is from the annotation of a GenBank genome assembly.
GAAACUUUCACUGAGUAUAAUAUAGAAUUUUCUAGUAGUGUGACUGAGUGUAUAUUUUGUGCAUCACUGCAACAAGUACAUGUGGGCUGUAUUUAAAGGGACUCUAUAGUCACCUGAAUAACUUUAGCUUAAUGAAGCAGUUUUGGUGUAUAGAAUAUGCCCCUGCAGCCUCACUGCUCAAUCCUCUGCCAUUUAGGAGUUAAAUCCCUUUGUUUGUGAACCCUAGUCACACCUCCCUGCAUGUGACUUGCACAGCCUUCCAUAAACACUUCCUUUAAAGAGAGCCCUAUUUAGGCUUUCUUUAUUGCAAGUUCUGUUUAAUUAAGAUUUUCUUAUCCCCUGCUAUGUUAAUAGCUUGCUAGACCCUGCAAGAGCCUCCUGUAUGUGAUUAAAGUUCAAUUUAGAGAUUGAGAUACAAUUAUUUAAGGUAAAUUACAUCUGUUAGAAAGUGAAACCAGUUUUUUGUUUUUUUUUCAUGCAGGCUCUGUCAAUCAUAGCCAGGGGAGGUGUGGCUAGGGCUGCAUAAACAGAAACAAAGUGAUUUAAC